Columba livia (rock pigeon) is the source of this 12896-nucleotide long non-coding RNA. RefSeq lists it as uncharacterized. Lineage: Eukaryota; Metazoa; Chordata; Aves; Columbiformes; Columbidae. The record is from RefSeq and is a predicted model, not a curated record. The transcript is spliced from 3 exons.
UCUGCAAUGCAUGUUUGUUUUUAAGCAAUUUUAAUGUUCUUAUUUUGAUAGCAGUUAGGGUUUCUGGAAAUAAAUAGUGAGUCCCAAGUCAGAACAAAAGUGUUAAUGUGGUACCAAGUUCCUGAGUAAACAAACAAUUGCUAAACAAAAUCUUUUCAACAGCAUUGUAUGUCUGUGUCAACAUUGUGUUUCCUCUCUGAGUCAUCUGGUCAGCAGCACCCCAGCUACACAGAAGAGGUCAUCCACUUCCUACAGCUCCGUGCUGAAGCCUGGAGUUUCAUUACAGAAUUUACCACUCGAGGUUUCCUAUGAGCCGCAGGAGUUGCAUUUUUUUGGCAGGAUUAGAGACAAAAAUCAAAAGAUACUAAAUCCAGUGGAAUUACAUUGUCUGAAAAAAAAGAGCAAGGCUCUGUAAAGGAAGAUACCAAAGGAGAGCUGCUUCUAUGUUCUGAGCAAUUAUCACAGUCUUUUUUUAUUCUUACUCUCCCACUUUUCUACACCAUUCCUUCUUGUCACCUCUUUCUUUGCUGACUCUCUUCUCUCUGCGAUUUUCUGCCCCUGUUGUCCUCUCCCUGUCCCGUGGCUUUGUCCAUCACUGGCUUCCCUGCCAGCCAUGCUGAGGGGCUGCAGAGAGGGAUGUUUGACCUGGAGCUGCAGCUGGGGUUCUGGCUCUCUAUGGGUAAGUUACACCUCCCUAAGUGACACAGAGCACCACCAGAGGAUAAAGCAAAUGAGGAAGAAAAGAAAUACUGAAGAUAAAGCUAUGGGUUCCAGGAUUGGUUUUGCCAUUGUUAGCAUGUUAAUGGCUUGAAGUGCAGCUAAGUUUAAUAAAGACAGUGAUUAAUAGCAACAAUAACAAAAGAUGGGCUUCAAUCCCUAGUGGACAUGAAGCAUCCUCAUGAAAUUGUCUUCUAGGCUCCUGACGUAAGCUCAAAGCUUGUUGGCCAAACAGAGGAAGUGUUAUGAUAGGUUACAAGUGCUAGAACUAAUAUUAUAGAUAAGACUAAUAUACUGAUCCUUAUCUAGCAUUGUUCAUGCAAGAUAUCAUGUUAUUUUCAAAUAUUUUUCUGCAAUUUGGACUUAAAGAGUUACUUUUCUCAUGAUUUGCAAUAUGUCAAAUUUACAAGUGUUUUGAUCAGCUGUUAUUGUUUUAUUGCGUAUUCAAUAGUAGCUUAUGCUGUGUUAAAAGCAUAAUUUAAAAUGGGAGAAAACAUGUUUCCUUAGGAAAGGUUAUAAUGGAAGCAUUGAAAUUAGCAAGUCCAUAGGAUCUUCUUCCAAAAAAAUUAUGAAUGAGGGAAAACAAUGAAUUAUAUUAAAGACUGAUAAGUUAGCUAUAAUUUUUGCUGCCAUGAGCACUACAAAAUGAAACUAUGCACUUAUCUGUGUAGAAUAUAUAACUCUUUUCUGAGUAACAUUUUCAUGAGGAAUAAAAGUAGCAACAGUCACAAUGCAAACUCAGUUUCACAUCUUAAAAAAGUGCCUUAUGAUUUCAGCCAUUUAAAAUGGGGUUAUUACACUGGGCAAAGUAAAGCAUAUUUAGCUUUUUAAUGAGCAUGUAUUGUUUCAUUUGGAUUAAAAGAAGCCAAAGCAAGAAUACAAAAUCUUGCUAAGUCCCUUAUGAAGGCAACAGGAAUUUCAAACUGAAACAAAUCAUUAAAAGUAAAGAUGGAAAUUACUGUCCACAUGUAAAGCUCUAGUGAAAAGAGUUAACUGUGCAUUCAGCUGAGCACGUUUAUCCUGCUCUGCUGAGACAGGCUGGUAGGGCAGAAGAUUUUCAGCAUUUGUUCAUUUAAAGAUAAGGAUAACUCUGUGCACAGAGCUCUGCAAGCAGAAUGCAAAGAGACUCCCUUCAAAGUCUGCUCAAGUCAGUAAACAGACUUCUUCAGCUUUAUAAGAAUUCUUGCCCAUCCUCUUGUAAUUCCACAGGCAAACUCUGCCAAGGCAGCUACUUCUAAUUUCUGUUAAGUGAAUGAUGUCUUGUUCAGCUCAGACUGAUAAAUAAUUCUCACAACUAUGGGUCUGAACUUGCUAUCUCACAGAGACUCUGAUGCAUUCGGUAUAAGAAUCAACAUUAUGACUCAUCUGAAUUAUGUUACAGCAAAAACCUCAUUUGGUUGAUACAGAUUUUUUUCUGUCAAAAUGAAACACAAAGUAGCUCUUCUCCUGAUUUCUCUCCCUUUGCCAUUCAUUUUAUUGUGCACAUUUUUAAUAGAGAAACUGAUUUUCUGGGAAUGCUGUGUUCUCCUAGGGCCCAAAAAGAGCCAGAUGACCUUCCUUGUCUUUCUUUAUUUGUUUAAAAAUAAGUGUUCACAAAAAAAACAUACCAAUAUUAAUACUUACCAUUAAGGCAAUCAUUUCAGUUGGGAGGAAAAUCAAGGUUAGGAUCUGAGAAAACAAAGUGGAAUAUAUAUAUAUAUAUAUUUUUUUUGCCUGUAGCUUUGGAAGCUUGGAAAGUCCUAUUAUCCUAAGAAUUAAAUUGGCUUACUCUAAUGCAUACAGAUGGCAAUGCCUUGUGCUAGGUACAGCUGCCAUUUUUUUUUUGUCCUCAAAGGAGAGAGGGAAAAGUCUAGUCUGUCCACCUGCAACAAACAGUGGGUUUUCAUAACAUAAAGGUGAGCUUGAGGGUUUAUUCUACAUGGUCCCAUAUGCAUGCUUUGAGAUAUCUUUUUGUGCAUUUAAUGGUGUUUUCAACAAGGGUAUUCUGGAAGCGACAGUUCUUGGAAGGAAAAGAGAAUUAAAAUGUCAUGCUUGCUGAAAUGUUAAAGAAGUAGCUGAUGAGCCCUGUGGUCAACAAAGACUAUUUGCAGAGAAACACAGCAAAAUUAGUUUUUCGAAUACAUCUAGUAAUAAUACAAAGAGGGAGUCACUAUAAUCUUCAUUAGACAAUCUUUGAGAAGCCUAAUACAUCAAAUAGGAAUUUUCAUUUCAGUUCAUUGACUAGUCACACAAAUACUUCUGUUUUGUUUUGUUUUGUUUUUGGUGCAUGACAAUUGGUGAUUUUGCUUAAAUUGCUAUUUUCCACUCUCAAGGCAAACUCAGUAUCAUUUUCAGGCUAAACAUUGACUGCAAAAGCUGCUUAUGAAUAAAAAAAUCAGGCUUUCAACUCUGAUACUUACAACCUUUGUUACAAGUCAAAAUGUGCAGGCUGAAGUAAAUACUCAGAAGGAUGCUCAUAGAAAGCGCAAGUUGCAUAACACCUGUGAAGAGUUGCUGACAAAACUGUAAAACCAAAACCAAAAUUCCUGUGAUGUCUCUCUCAAUUUUGAUAAUAUAAACAAUUGUCAUCCAGUUAGGUGGGUUGGUGAGUGGGACUGAAUUAAAGGUGCUUGUUCUUAGAGAAUACGAGUGACCUAAGUAGGUCAUAAACUACACUAAGAUGAUGGUCACAUAAAAAAUUUAACUACUCCAAAUACAAUCUGUUUUUAUAAUAUAUAGAGAGAGAGUCUAAUUUACACAAAACUUAUGCAACCCUUAUACAAUAAAGGAAUGACCUUAUCCUGGCUCCAUUCAUGUGUGAUAAACAUGGCUGAUUAAUACAUUUCUUCUGCAGAAAACUUUGAAAUCAUUAGAUACAUAUGAUUUACUGAAAGGAAAACAACCUCAGGAGAAAUGGCAAAACUUUGCUUAAAAAUAAAUAAAUAGAUAAAAUUGCAUGUUAUAUAAGGACAGAUAAAGUUUUCUUUAAACUGUAAUGAAAGCUAAAAUGAGUACCAAAUCACAAAGUGUCUGAGCUGUGGGGUUCACAGAUUUUCUGUCUGGGUAAAUUUAGCCAAAGUCCAAUACUCAGAGAGAGGACUUUAGGUGACAAAAUGUAAGAGGAACAUCUUCUUGUCAUCAGACCUAGGGAAAACAGGAAUCCUGAAGAUUGUAUUUCUCAGGAGUGUAAGUAUGAGACUUCUUUCAACAAGCCAUUGCCAGUCAGAUUUGAAAACAAUUUUGUAUUUUUUUUCCUGUCUUUUAAAGUGCAUACUCGUAUUUGCUGCAUGUUGUGAAUGAAUAAACCACCCCCCAAACAAAGGUUACUGUCUGCUCUUAAAUCCUCUGGUCCCUUGACAUUUCUGACUGAUGGAAAUUGGAUGCAGAGGCAAGGCAAACUACUCUGGCUAAAUGCUUCUGAAUAGGAUGAUGGUCUGCUGCUACAUAAAUCCUGUGUGCUGUCAAGUCCCUGGAGCAUUCUUUGUUCUGGCCUUGGAGAGAUUUCUUGUCAGCCCACAAGACAGUAAGAAGAAAACUGCAGUUGAUUCUGUCAGAACAUCAUACUAAAUGAACAAAAUGAUGAUUCUCCUUAUAUCUACAUUCAAACUUCUUUUUCAGAUAUCCCCCAGGUUCUAGCUCAGUUAGAACAGUCUCCAGAACAAAGAGAAGUCACCUUUUAAUUAUCCAAAUGUUCUUUUCAGAGAACAGCUAUCAGUGUAAUUUCUUUGAAUGACAUAUAAUUUUUCUCUACAGAGUAUUGCAAACAGGGAGAACAUAGGACAGAUGGAGAAGAGGGAAAGGUGAUAAAAGGAACAGAAAUAUUGUGCAAUAAUUCUUCUGAAUCUUUCCUUCCUGAUGUACUGUGUUGUAAUCAUACACAACUCAUGCCACUUAACACUUGAAACUGCAAGCAGCAGAGAUUAAACAAUAAGCAGUUAUUGAGGAAGUAAAGAGUGGGGUGAUAAAGCUCGUUGAUGGGACUGUUAUUCAGGGCAUUAGAAAUGACAGCCAACAUGGAUAAAAUGUUGUAGAAGAAUCUUAUGAUACUGAAUGAUUAGACAAUAAAAUAGUACAUGAAUUCAAUAUAGUUAAUGCAAAGUGAUGCUCACAGGUAAGAUUUCUAACUUCACCUAUAAAAUUACAAGGUCUGAGCCGAUGAGGAAUUCAGGAAUGAAAUUGUGCAGUUAUAAGAGACAGUUCUGUGCAAACAUCAGCUCAGUGUUCAUUAGUAGUCAAAAGACAAAUCGAGUAUUGAAUGCUAGGAAAAAGAUAGAAAAUAAACCAGAAAAUAUUACACUACUUUAUUAAUUAAUUAUUUAUUUGCAUCUUGAAUAGCAUGGGCAAUCUCAGCUCCCCAUUUAAGUUUUAGCUAAGUAUCCAGUCCAAAUAACUCUUUGGACUGGAAUAAACCCACUUCAGAUGGACUAUGACAAGUGUGUAUAAAAUAAUGCGAGGUGUAGAGAAGAUGAGCAUGGAUCUCUUGCAACACAGGGUCUAGGAGACCAGCUAUACUACAAGCUAGCAGUUGAAAGGUUCAACAUGAAGGAGGAGAAGGUCCACAUGGCAUGUAAGUCAGCUGUGGAAUUUCUUGCCACAGGAUAUUGGAGAUGCUAAAAGUUUAUGGAGGUCGAAAAGCAAGUAGAAAAAUAUUUAGUGUGAGGGCUAAUAAGUUAAAGGAUAUCAUCCUUAGCUAAGGAAACAGUGUGUUGCAAAUUGCUGGAUUGUGUUUUGGGCGUCACUUUGUGCUUACCUUGUUGUUAUCUGCUAGAGAAAAGACACUGAGCUAGAUGGAGCAGUGCUGUGGUUCAGCACUGGUGUUUUCUUGUUCUCUUAUGAUAAAUGUGUGGUUACCAAAGAGGAAAUGAUGAAACUUCAACUCUACUGAAACUAAUAAUCUCCACUGUCUUCAGCAGGAGUGUGAAACAAAUGUCAUUAAAAGGUAUUUUUUGGAAUAAAAGGAAAAAAUAUUCCAAAAAUAUCUCAUUCAACUACAUAUAUAUAUUUGCAACAAAAGUCUACACAUGGUGGUAAAUCACAGAAUCACAGAAUGUUUGGGAUUGGUAGGGACCUCAAAAGAUCAUCUAGUCAAAUACCCUGCCGGAGCAGGAACACCCAGAUGAGGUUACACAGGAAGGUGUCCAGGCGGGUUUUGAAUGUCUCCAGAGAAGGAGACUCCACAACCUCCCUGUGCAGCCUGUUCCAGUGUUCUGUCACUCUCACUGAGAAGAAGUUUUUUCUCAAAUUUAAGUGGAACCUCCCGUGUUCCAGUUUGAACUCAUUACCCCUUGUCCUACCAUUGGUUGUCACCGAGAAGAGCCUGGCUCCAUCCUCGUGACACUCAGCCUUUAUAUAUUUGUAAACAUUAAUAAGGUCACAGUCUCCCCUUCUCCAAACUAAAGAGACCCAGCUCUUAUAGAUUAUAGAUUGAUGCAUCACAUUAUAGAGAUGGAGGGGAAGUGUGCAAAGUCUGACAUAAGGGUACUUUGUUUCAGUGUCUUAAACUCAGGAUUGCAUCUUAGAACAACUUUCUAUUUUUGGAGGAGCUAGGACCAGAGUGUGAGACAUGGACAGGUCAGGUCAUUUGAAAUAUUUGCUAUUGAAGCUGGGAUAUUGAUUCAAUUUGUCUGAGAAGAAAGGUAUUUGUGGGGGUAUGUAUCUGUAACUGCAGUUUAUCGCUUCUGUUUUGCCCAAAAGGAUGUUCUCUGCUUUACUUUUUGAUGUUAAUUUACUGCACCUCAGUGAAUCUAAGAUAUGAGGGUUUUUUUUCUGACAUUUUAUCAAGUUAAAUGUGAUUCUGAGAACUCUGAGAAAAAUCAUGACCUAACCUUUUCUAGCAUAAUGAUAAUAAUGAUACCAUUUACAGGAAAAAUUGCUUUAAAUUGGUUAGAUAACACUUACAUUAAAAGACACCUUACCAAUGUGGGGGAAGAAAACUCAGAGUACAUUUUCAUAGCUAAUUUUGGUUAAAUAGGCUAAUGAAUGUUUUUUACAUGGCAGCCAAGAUUGCCAUGUGGCUGUAAUCGCUGCUGAGAGAAAAUGCUGCUUGUUUUUCCUUUUCAGUUUGUUCCUGGAUUCUGUGCUUGGCUUUAUAUGGAUCCUGUACAUGGUGUCAACAAAUUCAAAAAUGAUUUGUCUGGUGCCUAAGCAACAGAGCUCCUAAUAUGGUGCCAUGUGUCUGGCCUAUUCAAAAGGUGGAUUUGCAUUUACUUCAUAGAUUUUUUCAUGACAUUUUCUGUGUUUCAGAGGAGAGAGUGCGACAUCCCCAUAAUUCAUCUCAGCAGAUCUGGGGUUCUGAAAAACAAGUAUCAGUGGUGAGAUUAAAACCUGGGUGUACCCAGAGUACCCAGCCCUGCCUCCAUCUGGCUGCUGUGCAGAAGUUAAGCUUGGAGUUGGCUGAGGGCUGCACGAAUCCACCAUGAUUGUAGCAGCAUCUUUGCCAAAGCCUCCAUUUUCAGCACUGAAGAACUGACUACCUACUCUUAAACUUUUAGGCAUGAGAUUUAUGCUUUGCUUCAUUCCUUUUAGAUGCUUGUUUACAGUCCAAAGUUCUUCCAAAACCUUGAGUUUUCCUUAGAAUAAGGGCGUCAGAGAAAUAAUUGCUGAACUCUUUUCCCUUGCCUCCUUCUUGGAGCCCUGCAGGAAUACUUCAGUCAUGUUUUCAUGACUUUUCUCUGUAAUUGCCAGUGAUAAUAACUUUUUCUUUUUUUUUAAGAAUAAAGGAAUUGUGUCUUUAUAAUCAACUGACAGCAGGAGCUGGGGGUUCCAAAAAAGCAUCAGACAGUGAGAUUCAUGAUAAAAAUCUGCCUCAGGAGAGCUGCUUUCAUCUUUUACUCAGUCCAUCUUUUUCCUUGCUUACAGGUUGCAGUAGUGGAGCCCUGAAUAAGCCUCAAAAAAUAUAUAUAUAAAAAAAGACUUUUAAUAUGACCCAUCAUCACUGCAAAUAAUACUGUUGGUGUGGCAGCAAUAUGUCUAUUCUCUCUGCAGAGCUUUCAGAUGGCAGCACUUUUUCUGUUCUUGCUGCAGAGCUUUCAGAUUUGAACUGUCCUGCAAUAGAAGCUACACACGGUGUGAAACAGACUUUGGUCUGAAACGACAGGGGUUGUAAUUAAACUUAAUUGAAACCAUGUCUGUGAGACAGAAGGACAAAUGUCUUUAGGAGCAUCAUCACAGCUGCAUCUCUUCUGAGUAAAGAUAGCACUAGCGAGGGGAAAAUAAAACCCAAUACCAGAUACUGUGGGUAAGCUAAUGCUGUGUAAUGCCCCAGAUUGUACUGCAGGAAGAUUUAUGGUAGAACUAUAAAGACAUUUUUUUUUAAGUAUAAAAAGCUAUGAGGAUGAAUAGUAGUUUAAAAUAUAUGUAUUUCCUUGCUGUUGGUUCUUUACAGAUUAUUUCACUAUAUUUUUAUUGCGUAUGUCUAGCCACAGGGAGAAGCUGAUUAAGAGGUCUAAUUUUUCCUUAUCUCUUCUCUUUACUGCUUGACCUUCCUGUUCAAGCGUAUUGGGUAUUUCCAACUGAGUUUCUAUUAUGAAAUCCAGAUUGUCUUCUGGAAGUACGUUGGUUUUGAUGAACUACAAGAGAAACACAGGUGGGUUUCUGAUAGCAACAAGCCUGAGUUCCUGCCAGCUCAUUUUAUGGGCUGCUAGUGGCUUCAAAGCAACUGUGUUUUGCAGAAUCUACCAUUUGGAGAAACUCUGUCAGGCCAGUGCCCUGGAGCUGGAUUUGUUGUGAGCUGGCAGACUCCCUGCCAUACAUGCAUGAACCAUAGGAGUCUUGGCUCUGUUUUGCAGGUGGAAUCUGAAGUCUUCAGGCUCAGCUUCCUUUUCACAUGACAUUCUUUAAUCUGAAGUGGCUCCUAAGAGGGAGCAGGGAUCCCAGGAGCACCAUCUCCUCAUGAGUGGUGGUCUCUCAAUGCUAGAUGGGUGGUCAACAACCAAGUGCAGAGCCAUUGUGUUGUUCAUCAGACCUUUUGAUAUUGUUGUGGCCAGAGGGACAUGGUAAGACUGAGAGUAAUGGGAAGGUUGUAGCACGUUGUGCAGAAUUAUUGUGAUGAGCUGGGCAAAAGCAAAUCUCAUUGCUCUAGUCUUCUGCCCCUGCAGCAAGGAGCCUGAAAGCCUUGAGGACUUUAGCUCCUGGCUCUGCAAUGUGAUGUCUGGCAACCUCGGAGGUCCUCCUCUGAGCUGGUGAUCUUGUGGCUUCAGACUCAUUGCUGUGGAGAGAAGGGAGCUCAGCUGUAAAUACCAGAACUCCGAACUUGCUGCAUUCAGAAAGCCCAUGCCAGGUACCUCACAGCUUGUGCACCUUCCAAAUGGUGUUGUGGGUGUCUCAGAUGGUGCUGGGCACAUAUGGUUGUGCUGCAGAAUUUCACCCCAAUUUUUCACAACGAAAUAUUUUGAUCCUUUCCAGCGGAAUCUUACUACAGUUAAUUUGCAAGUGAAAUUUCCACUUUCUGCUUACCAUUUCAUUUUGAAAGGAAAAGAGAACUUUCUCAGAAUUUGAGAAGUCUCUGUAAAAUGGAAAUACUUCCAUUAGACCAGGUCGGCAUUGGCUUUUGAUCAGAAGGGACCUGUAUCCUUUCUGACUCCUUCAAACCUCUGCUGAUAGAAUCUCCUUGGCUUCUCCCAGAGCAUCCCUCAGAAUACUGAUGCUCACAUACACUGUCUCAUACCCCGUUAAUCUAGUUCCUUGUCUAAGACACUUCACAAAUUAUUGUAAUAUUGCCAUUUUCAUUCAGAAAUAUCUAAUUGUGUUAACCCUGCAGCAUUGGUUUCACUGAUGAGAUCUAUCUGAUCCAUUUGAAUUCUUGUCACUCAAAUACCAUCCUAGGUUGCCUCUUUCUGAUGAAAACUUUCAGCAGAGUCACUUCCACCCUGCUGUUGCUCACUCCUAUAAUUUAUCAACAGUUCUUGUAAUUAUCCUAUAAUGCACAUUUAUAAAAUGCAUAUAAGAACUCCAGUUGUGUAAAUAUUUGGUUUAUUUAAAUGCAGCUCAUAAGUACUGCAUUUUUCUUCUUCCUAGUUGUUUGUGUCAUACUUGUGUUGCUUUGAGGAGAAAUUAUGCUCUAAUAUUUCAGGACAGGGAACACAUUUUCUGGGUUGGCACGGUGGGUCCCAAUAUUGCUGAAGACCAGGAGGCAUUGCUAUAACAUAAAUAAAUAAUAACAUCUCUCAAAAUCUUUUCAUCACCUUAAUGGCUCUGUGAUCUCUGUGCAUUUUUGUGAUUGCAGUAAGUAGUUGUAGAAAGCAUUGUGAUAACGUCAAUAGAACCAUGGUAUGGUAAUGUAAAAUUAAUGAGCUAGAUGGUAAUCUUUUUAGGCAAAUUGUGUUCUUUAAUACAGCACACCCUCUCAAUUAGUCUGUUCUCAGGAGCCAAGGAAUCAGUGUAUUGUGUGUGAAGUGCACAGUAAAAUUGACUUGGUUUCUCAGGAAGAUCAACGUAUCUGAUAGUCAAAAUACAAUAACCUUAUAUGGAACGCAAUGUUAUAGUGAAAAGCAUUAUAGAGGCAAUUCCUGGGACUUUCACGUUUAUGUUUCCAAUAGCCCACAGGUAUUUGUUAGUAAAGGGAAGGAGAUUUCAUUGACUUUUGUUAUGAAAACCAAAAUAAGGAAGCUGAGCUGAUGUCUGCUGAAAGCCUGCGCUCUGCCGAAGCACUCAUCAAGUCAUUAAUGAAAGGUAUGGUUAGCAGAGGGUGUGAAGAUCUGUUUCAUACUCUCUAUGGCAGUUACCUUUCAAAUCACUAAGGUCAAGAUUCAGACUUUCUUACCUGGUGCAACUGAUAUGUGAAUCACUCCAUAAUAAACACUACGAAGCACAAUAUCAAGUAGAAAAGGGAUGUGAUGUGCAGUCAUGGCAACCGACCUUCCACUAGACUCAUCAACACAAAAAGGCUGGAGACAAAGGUUCCUUGGUGGAGUGAAACCUGGGGGUUGUGCAGUGCUGACAAUGAGUCAAACGAUGCUACCAGAUCUGGUACUUGCAGAGCACCGAGCAGAGUUUCUUUCAGUUUUACCUCUCCUGCCAGUUUAGCUUGUAUGUUUCAUGCUCUGAACAACAUGGCCACACACAAGUAUCAUCAACACGGAGGAACUACAAGCUGUUGUAUAAAACUCACUGCAGUAGCAAAAUACAUUUGAACUUAUAGUUCACCCAGAGAAACUUCCAUUUUUUUAAAUGAGGUCCAUGAGAAUAUGAUAAAGAUUGUCAGAUUUGGGUCAUUAUUUCUGAUGAAGGGGUAGGAAAGAAAUUCAUUAAUGGAACGAUUUCUGGAGGCUAGGACUUACAUUCAGUUUGCAUCAUAAGAGAGAUUCAUUUCACUUCAAACUAUAGCUCAGUGGACAUUAAUCUAUAUUACAGUUCUGCAACCAGUGAAAGUAGCAAUUUGUGUUUGGGAUUAGAAGACUGGCAAUAUAGCCAGUCAUGGGUCAAACAAGUAGUAUGAAAAUUUUUUUAUUUUCUGAAAAUUUUGACCAGAUGUUUAUUUCCUGAAUAUUUCAAUUUAAAAUAAUACCUCCAGAAAAGUUGAGAAAGGUGGAUUGUCUUGCAUUUUAUUUUAUAAAGCAACAUUAAAUGUGUCCUGAUUCAUUCGAAUGCUUGAGGAAAGACACCCUAGGUUACAGAAGUGAGGGGCUGAUGUUGACUGUAGAGAAAGGCAAAGCUUAUCUUCUAUUUUAAACCAUUAAAUGCUAAGAUCUCAUUCUAACACUCACAGAAAAAGCAUCUCCACAAGAUCAAAAUAGCAAUAAUGGUAGAACAAUGUUAAAGAAAUAUCAACCCAUAUUUUGCAUUCUCUGUCCCCAAACUAUUGAAAGAAAAAAAUACGUGCUCUGUUUGAAAAUUACCACAGUGGUCAAAAACAUGUUUUAUGUUUUCCCUCAUGUUCUUUUACAGUUUUUUUUUGUUCUGUUUUCUCUUGUAUCAGAUGAUUAACUCUAAGCCUUGUGCUUCUACACUGAUGAAAUACAAUUUACCGCAGAGACAUUACUUGGAGAAUAUCCAUAUUGGCCAUUCAGCAAUGUGCUUUUGUUCAUUUCAACUAACAGGUAUCCCUUUACAUCAUAAGCAAUUGUAGUCUUCAGUGUUAAUGGUGUCUACAUUAAUAAAGUUCACUUUAUGAAAAAGCUACUGGACUGUGAUUUAUUUUAUUUAUUAACAGUUUUAUGGAGUCUAUUUUCAUCUAAGUCUUCAGCAGUGGAUAAACAAAGGAGCUAUUGAUUAUAUACAGAAAAGUUUCUGACAGCUUCAAUUAGAGAAAUCUUCCUUUGUUCAAAUGGCAAAUCAUAUCCCUGGAAAAUUUCCUACCUCUUUGGGUUUUGUCUGAAAGUUAAUUUAUCAGUUGGCAUACCACUGGGUCCAAACCUGCUUUUACUGAAGUAAGUGGGAAUUUUGCCAUUGCCUUCAACAGGAGCAGGUGCACGCCCCUAAUGAGGUGUGUAAUGGAAAUGGUGUACACACAAAAACCUGGACACAGUCAGCAUCAGAAACACUGGAGAAGAAUAAUAAUUUCUCAGGAUCUCAGAGCAUGUGAACAACAUGUUGCAGUGACAUUUAAGCAUUGACAAGAAAAGUGAAGAGAUCAAGUGAAAGAAUAGAACUAGACAAGAAGAUAUUGUCACACUGGAACAAUUCACCUCGUGCUUGGAAAAAUUUGUAAAAACCUUGAUUAGGGAGGGAAAGGCACCCAUGAUAAAUGAGAGCACCUAAGCCACAUUAGAUCAGCUGAUAACACAGUCAUCUUUGCCAAAAUCCCUGAAGACCUUGAAGCACUGAUGAGAGGAUAAAUCGUGAAGAGUACAGCUUGAGCAAUUAGGAUAAGAAGAGCUGAGUUGUCCCUAGUGAAACCUGACCCCCAGCUUUCACCCUGUAUUGAAAUCGAAUAUGACCCAAACCUUUGCUGAAUUAUGGAAAAAAAGGCAAAAGAAGUUUUUCACCUCAUUAUUUCUCAUUUCAUUUAGUGUAUCCAGUAAAGUGUGCUGUGAAUAAUCUCAGACUGUUAUCAACUAAAAUAGCACCAGAACAGCAAGACACUGUGACUUUAUCUGCCAGUAUUGCAUCCAGAGCAAUUAGCCCUGCUUCUCAGAGGUGAGAAAGGGCAUGUUAAUGAGGCUGAGUGCAGUGUUGCGCUAAUCCCGUGGCACCAAUUCUGUGAAUCAAGUAAGGUACUUGCUUUGUGCUGGUCUGCUCCAUGGAGAAGUGUCAGAUCUUGU